UGGCGGCGUGGUUAAGACAUGCAAGUCGAACGAGAGAAUUGCUAACUUGCUAAUAAUUCUCUAGUGGCGCACGGGUGAGUAACACGUGAGUAACCUGCCCCCGAGAGCGGGAUAGCCCUGGGAAACUGGGAUUAAUACCGCAUAGUAUCGAAAGAUUAAAGCAGCAAUGCGCUUGGGGAUGGGCUCGCGGCCUAUUAGUUAGUUGGUGAGGUAACGGCUCAUCAAGGCGAUGACGGGUAGCCGGUCUGAGAGGAUGUCCGGCCACACUGGAACUGAGACACGGUCCAGACACCUACGGGUGGCAGCAGUCGAGAAUCAUUCACAAUGGGGGAAACCCUGAUGGUGCGACGCCGCGUGGGGGAAUGAAGGUCUUCGGAUUGUAAACCCCUGUCAUGUGGGAGCAAAUUAAAAAGAUAGUACCACAAGAGGAAGAGACGGCUAACUCUGUGCCAGCAGCCGCGGUAAUACAGAGGUCUCAAGCGUUGUUCGGAAUCACUGGGCGUAAAGCGUGCGUAGGCUGUUUCGUAAGUCGUGUGUGAAAGGCGCGGGCUCAACCCGCGGACGGCACAUGAUACUGCGAGACUAGAGUAAUGGAGGGGGAACCGGAAUUCACGGUGUAGCA
Molecule: ribosomal RNA, 622 nt
Filed under: Akkermansia muciniphila
Lineage: Bacteria; Pseudomonadati; Verrucomicrobiota; Verrucomicrobiia; Verrucomicrobiales; Akkermansiaceae
Description: bacterial SSU rRNA
Rfam family: Bacterial small subunit ribosomal RNA
Source: RNAcentral